RNAcentral lists this ribosomal RNA (520 nucleotides) under Termitomyces sp. PSU-ES92. RNAcentral describes it as "eukaryotic LSU rRNA". The stretch from base 264 to 520 matches the Rfam family "Eukaryotic large subunit ribosomal RNA", at positions 1 to 252 of the family's 3401-position model. The record is from RNAcentral. Lineage: Eukaryota; Fungi; Basidiomycota; Agaricomycetes; Agaricales; Lyophyllaceae.
UCUUUGAACGCACCUUGCACUCCUUGGUAUUCCGAGGAGUAUGCCUGUUUGAGUCUCAUGGAAUUCUCAACCCCUAAAUUUUGUAAUGAAGUUUAGUGGGCUUGGACUUGGAGGUUGUGUCGGCUUCUAGUCGACUCCUCUGAAAUGUAUUAGCGUGAAUCUUACGGAUCGCCUUCAGUGUGAUAAUUAUCUGCGCUGUGGUGUUGAAGUAUUUAUUAGUUCAUGCUUAUAGUCGUCUCUUACCGAGACAAUUUAUGACAAUCUGAGCUCAAAUCAGGUAGGACUACCCGCUGAACUUAAGCAUAUCAAUAAGCGGAGGAAAAGAAACUAACAAGGAUUCCCCUAGUAACUGCGAGUGAAGCGGGAAAAGCUCAAAUUUAAAAUCUGGCGGCUUUGGUCGUCCGAGUUGUAUCCUAGAGAAGUGUUUUCCGCGUUGGACCGUGUAUAAGUCUCUUGGAACAGAGCGUCAUAGAGGGUGAGAAUCCCGUCUUUGACACGGACUACCAAUGCUUUGUGAUAC